Molecule: ribosomal RNA, 1543 nt
Filed under: Staphylococcus sp. LS255
Lineage: Bacteria; Bacillati; Bacillota; Bacilli; Caryophanales; Staphylococcaceae
Description: partial 16S ribosomal RNA
Rfam family: Bacterial small subunit ribosomal RNA
Source: RNAcentral
AGAGUUUGAUCCUGGCUCAGGACGAACGCUGGCGGCGUGCCUAAUACAUGCAAGUCGAGCGAACUUGCGGGAGCUUGCUCCCAAAAGUUAGCGGCGGACGGGUGAGUAACACGUGGGCAACCUGCCUGUAAGACUGGGAUAACUUCGGGAAACCGGAGCUAAUACCGGAUAACCCUUUUCCUCACAUGCGGAAAAGUUGAAAGAUGGCUUCGGCUAUCACUUACAGAUGGGCCCGCGGCGCAUUAGCUAGUUGGUGAGGUAACGGCUCACCAAGGCGACGAUGCGUAGCCGACCUGAGAGGGUGAUCGGCCACACUGGGACUGAGACACGGCCCAGACUCCUACGGGAGGCAGCAGUAGGGAAUCUUCCGCAAUGGACGAAAGUCUGACGGAGCAACGCCGCGUGAGUGAUGAAGGUUUUCGGAUCGUAAAACUCUGUUGUUAGGGAAGAACAAGUAUCGUUCGAAUAGGGCGGUACCUUGACGGUACCUAACCAGAAAGCCACGGCUAACUACGUGCCAGCAGCCGCGGUAAUACGUAGGUGGCAAGCGUUGUCCGGAAUUAUUGGGCGUAAAGCGCGCGCAGGCGGUCUUUUAAGUCUGAUGUGAAAGCCCCCGGCUCAACCGGGGAGGGUCAUUGGAAACUGGGAGACUUGAGUGCAGAAGAGGAGAGUGGAAUUCCACGUGUAGCGGUGAAAUGCGUAGAGAUGUGGAGGAACACCAGUGGCGAAGGCGACUCUCUGGUCUGUAACUGACGCUGAGGCGCGAAAGCGUGGGGAGCGAACAGGAUUAGAUACCCUGGUAGUCCACGCCGUAAACGAUGAGUGCUAAGUGUUAGAGGGUUUCCGCCCUUUAGUGCUGCAGCAAACGCAUUAAGCACUCCGCCUGGGGAGUACGGCCGCAAGGCUGAAACUCAAAGGAAUUGACGGGGGCCCGCACAAGCGGUGGAGCAUGUGGUUUAAUUCGAAGCAACGCGAAGAACCUUACCUACUCUUGACAUCCAGAGAAUUCGCUAGAGAUAGCUUAGUGCCUUCGGGAACUCUGAGACAGGUGCUGCAUGGCUGUCGUCAGCUCGUGUUGUGAAAUGUUGGGUUAAGUCCCGCAACGAGCGCAACCCUUAUCCUUUGUUGCCAGCACGUAAUGGUGGGAACUCAAAGGAGACUGCCGGUGAUAAACCGGAGGAAGGUGGGGAUGACGUCAAGUCAUCAUGGCCCUUACGAGUAGGGCUACACACGUGCUACAAUGGCGUAUACAAAGAGAAGCGAACUCGCGAGAGCAAGCGGACCUCAUAAAGUACGUCGUAGUCCGGAUUGGAGUCUGCAACUCGACUCCAUGAAGUCGGAAUCGCUAGUAAUCGUAGAUCAGAAUGCUACGGUGAAUACGUUCCCGGGCCUUGUACACACCGCCCGUCACACCAUGGGAGUGGGUUGCAAAAGAAGUAGGUAGCUUAACCUUCGGGAGGGCGCUUACCACUUUGUGAUUCAUGACUGGGGUGAAGUCGUAACAAGGUAACCGUAGGGGAACCUGCGGCUGGAUCACCUCCUU